AAGACCUUGCGCUUUUGGAGCGGCCGAUGCCUGAUUAGCUUGUUGGUAAGGUAAAAGCUUACCAAGGCUUCGAUCAGUAGCUGGUCUGAGAGGACGGCCAGCCACACUGGGACUGAGACACGGCCCAGACUCCUACGGGAGGCAGCAGUGGGGAAUUUUGGACAAUGGGGGCAACCCUGAUCCAGCCAUGCCGCGUGAGUGAAGAAGGCCUUCGGGUUGUAAAGCUCUUUCAGCCGGAACGAAACGGUUACGGUUAAUACCCGUGAUUACUGACGGUACCGGAAGGAGAAGCACCGGCUAACUACGUGCCAGCAGCCGCGGUAAUACGUAGGGUGCGAGCGUUAAUCGGAAUUACUGGGCGUAAAGCGUGCGCAGGUGGUUUUGUAAGUCAGAUGUGAAAGCCCCGGGCUCAACCUGGGAACU
Molecule: ribosomal RNA, 423 nt
Filed under: uncultured bacterium
Lineage: Bacteria
Description: bacterial SSU rRNA
Rfam family: Bacterial small subunit ribosomal RNA
Source: RNAcentral